Molecule: ribosomal RNA, 468 nt
Filed under: uncultured bacterium
Lineage: Bacteria
Description: partial 16S ribosomal RNA
Rfam family: Bacterial small subunit ribosomal RNA
Source: RNAcentral
GACGAACGCUGGCGGCGUGCUUAACACAUGCAAGUCGAACGGAAAGGCCCUGCCUUUGUGGGGUGCUCGAGGGGCGAACGGGUGAGUAACACGUGAGUAACCUGCCAUUGACUUUGGGAUAACUUCAGGAAACUGAGGCUCAUACCGGAUAGGAGCUCCCGCUGUAUGGUGGGGGUUGGAUAGUUUCGCCGGUUGGGGAUGGACUCGCGGCUCAUCAGAUUGUUGGUGGGGUAGUGGAUUACCAAGGCCUUGACGGGUGGCCUGGCUGGGAGGGUGACAGGCCACGUUAGGACUGAGCUGCGGCCCAGACUCCUACGGUAGGCAGGGGAGCAGAAGAGUGCACUAUAGGCGGAGGCCUGGUGCAGUAACGCCGCGUGGGGGAUGUCGGGCAUGGGUUUGUGUUGCGCAGUUGCCUGUCACGAGGUGUGAGUGACGGUAAUGGGUAAAGAAGCACCGGCUAACUACGUG